This 401-nucleotide ribosomal RNA is filed under the name uncultured soil bacterium. RNAcentral describes it as "bacterial SSU rRNA". It matches the Rfam family "Bacterial small subunit ribosomal RNA", at positions 975 to 1375 of the family's 1533-position model. The record is from RNAcentral.
CAGGUCUUGACAUCCCGCUGACCGGUAUAGAGAUAUAUCUUUCCCUUCGGGGACAGCGGUGACAGGUGGUGCAUGGUUGUCGUCAGCUCGUGUCGUGAGAUGUUGGGUUAAGUCCCGCAACGAGCGCAACCCUUGAUCUUAGUUGCCAGCAUUUAGUUGGGCACUCUAAGGUGACUGCCGGUGACAAACCGGAGGAAGGUGGGGAUGACGUCAAAUCAUCAUGCCCCUUAUGACCUGGGCUACACACGUGCUACAAUGGAUGGUACAAAGGGCUGCAAGACCGCGAGGUUUAGCCAAUCCCAUAAAACCAUUCUCAGUUCGGAUUGCAGGCUGCAACUCGCCUGCAUGAAGCUGGAAUCGCUAGUAAUCGCGGAUCAGCAUGCCGCGGUGAAUACGUUCCC